GAUGAAGAACGUAGCGAAAUGCGAUAAGUAAUGUGAAUUGCAGAAUUCAGUGAAUCAUCGAAUCUUUGAACGCACAUUGCGCCCGCCAGCACUCUGGCGGGCAUGCCUGUUCGAGCGUCAUUUCAACCAUCAAGCCCCCAGGGGCUUGUGCUGGGGCCCUGCGGCUGCCCGCAGGCCCUGAAAACCAGUGGCGGGCUCGCUAGUCACACCGAGCGCAGUAGCACAUCUCGCUCAGGGCGUGCGGCGGGCUCCUGCCGUGAAACCCCCCACUGUAACCCCAAAGGUUGACCUCGGAUCAGGUAGGAAUACCCGCUGAACUUAAGCAUAUCAUAAGCGGAGGA
Molecule: unclassified non-coding RNA, 341 nt
Filed under: soil metagenome
Description: partial contains 5.8S ribosomal RNA, internal transcribed spacer 2, and large subunit ribosomal RNA
Rfam family: 5.8S ribosomal RNA (bases 1-120)
Source: RNAcentral